This 560-nucleotide small RNA is filed under the name Pan troglodytes (chimpanzee). Its description in RNAcentral is "processed transcript". The record is from RNAcentral. Lineage: Eukaryota; Metazoa; Chordata; Mammalia; Primates; Hominidae.
AGACCGGCCGACGCGGGCCACCCCGCUCUCCUCGCCGCCGCGGCGGCAGGCGCGGGGCCGCGCCGCGAGGCCUGAUCCCUGCAGCGCGGGCAGGCGGCGUCGCAGAGCGGAGCUAGCUGGAUGCGUCCGGACUCCUGCAGGUGAGAGUGAUUUUCCAGUGAUUGCUUUGGCCUGUACAACCAGAGAACAGGAUUCUUCCCUUCUUUUUGGCCACCAAAUGCCUAUGUGCACCACACAUUCCAGUGUGCUGAGAAGGGCAGAGCUUCUUGGAUGAUGAUGGAUGUCCCACCGGGCAGGAUGAAGGCAGAGCGUGUGGCAUCUCCACCUCAAGGGUGGGUUUAUAAACUCCUUCUAUAGAUGAAGACUUCACCUGCCCAAGGUCAUGCAGAUAAGAAGAGGCAGCUCAGACACAAGUUUUCAGAAUCCUAGUCUUUCCCUCUUUUUUGCUAGUUGAUGCUGAUAAUUCAGCAUGAAUAAGAGGACAUGCUGUUUUUGUUUUGUUAAGUUCAACAUUUAAACGUUGCAUUCAGUUUAUGAAUGCUCUGAAAUAGAGCACCCUG